UCUUCCUUUUAUUUUUGUGAUCUUUUGCUAUAUAAACAACUCCUCCUCAAAGAAUGAUGAGACAACUUACAAUUUACACACUCUGGAUAAUAAGCUCACGUGAGUCCCUCUAUUCUUAGCCAAGAAUUUAUUUUUAUGCAGAUUUAACUUAUAUACAUUGACAACUUAAAUUUUUUUUUUACAACAAGUGUGUUUUAAUCUGUUGUAGCGGUAACAUGUAAAUUCUUUAUAUAAGCAUCUCAUUUUCCUAUUCCUUUCUUCCCAUAUUAUAGUAUACUAUUCAACAACAACAAUAACAUACCCAGUGUAAUCCCAUAUAGUGGGGUUUGGGGAAAAUAAAGUGUACGCAGAUCAUACCACUACCUCAGGUAAAGUAGAGAGGUUGUAUUAUAGUAUACUAUUCACUAUGGAAAACUCCCAACAACCUCUAGCCACAGAGAAUUUUUCAUAUAGUUGGUUGUUGAAUAGAAAACCAUCCAUUGAUGGCCUAACAGAAUCCCCUAGACCCUCUUAUAGUAGUCAUGAUGAUGCUAAGGAAGAGUUAAAAUUUAUCGCUUAUUUGAAAAGAUUCCUAAAAGAAGAACAAAACUUCAACUUUGAUGUUCAUCCUGUUUCAGACUAUGUUUGUGCUGAUGAAAUCUUCUCUGAUGGAUAUUUCAUGCCUCGAUAUCUUGAUAGAUCAAAGAUUGAAUCUUUUGUGAAGCCUUCAAUAAUUUCAACACAAAUUCAUCAGUACCCUCAACUAGUACUCCUCCCACACCAAUAUCUAAACUUUCAAAUUCCACAACUACUUAAGCUGAUUUUCUUGAAAAAUGGAGAAAGUUUUCGCGCAAAAUCUUGGUUAAGUGGUUUGGAUUCGUAAGGACAAUCUCCAAAAGUAUAACAAGUUCAAGAAAAAGUACUGAAAAAGUUGAUGACCUUCAAAGAAAAGUAAGUGAAAUUCAAAGCUGCAAGAGUACUACUGAUACUUCAUUUCAGGGAUCUCCUCGUUGAAUGUUGAAAUCUUAUUCUGUUGUCAAUUGGUGUGGAAAUGAUAACAACCAAAGAAGAAGUAGUAGUACUAGAAGAGUUAAAAGUUUGAGGAAGGUGAAAAAAUGGAGUAAUAUUAACUCACCACAUGAGGCUUGUUCCCCUAUAAAAAGUCCAUCCAAUGAUCAUUCUACUUAUGUUUGGCGUGAGAAGGCGAUUUCUAAUGUAAUUUUGUACUGUAAGAGAUCGUAUGUCAACUGAGCCUGAUAUCGAUCAUCGUGAUCGUUUUGACCAGAAGAAGCAAUUCUAGAUGUUAAAUUUCAUCCUUAAAUUUUUUUCUCAGAUUUAUAUUUAGAUUUUUGUCUCUAUCAUGUAUCACUCAGAUUCAAUAUUUU
This 1364-nucleotide long non-coding RNA is filed under the name Capsicum annuum. RNAcentral's name for it is "long non-coding RNA (CANN_LNC012253)". Lineage: Eukaryota; Viridiplantae; Streptophyta; Magnoliopsida; Solanales; Solanaceae. The record is from RNAcentral.